UACGGGGGGAGCAAGCGUUGUUCGGAUUUACUGGGCGUAAAGGGCGCGUAGGCGGCCACCGCAAGUCGACUGUGAAAGUCUCCGGGCUUAACCCGGAAAGGUCAGCCGAUACUGCGGGGCUAGAGUGCAGAAGGGGCAACUGGAAUUCUCGGUGUAGCGGUGAAAUGCGUAGAUAUCGAGAGGAACACCUGCGGCGAAGGCGGGUUGCUGGGCUGACACUGACGCUGAAGUGCGAAAGCUAGGGGAGCGAACGGG
This 255-nucleotide ribosomal RNA is filed under the name uncultured bacterium. RNAcentral describes it as "partial 16S ribosomal RNA". It matches the Rfam family "Bacterial small subunit ribosomal RNA", at positions 524 to 776 of the family's 1533-position model. The record is from RNAcentral.